RNAcentral lists this transfer RNA (85 nucleotides) under Verrucomicrobiota bacterium. Its description in RNAcentral is "tRNA-Leu". It matches the Rfam family "tRNA". Rfam says of the family: Transfer RNA (tRNA) molecules are approximately 80 nucleotides in length. The record is from RNAcentral. Lineage: Bacteria; Pseudomonadati; Verrucomicrobiota. RNAcentral also lists the same sequence under 1 other name.
GCGCCCGUGGCGGAAUUGGCAGACGCGCUAGAUUCAGGUUCUAGUGACUAACAUCGUACAGGUUCAAGUCCUGUCGGGCGCACCA